GGCUUGGUGGAAGUUCACAAAAUGCCACGUUUUACAGUUCAUAACUAUGCUGUAGUAUCGUAUAAAUUUUUAAUGUAAAAUUAUUAGGAUUAAGAAUUUAGGAGGGAAUUUAGGAUUAAGAAAUUAAGAAUUUAGGAGGGAAAUGAUGAGCAGAUUACUGCAUUAUAGCGUAAUGGUUCCUGCCUAAUUAAAUCUUCCAGCCGCAAAUUAUAAACUGUAUUACAGUGAAUUCCGCACUAAACGAAAACUUCACUGCGCGAAGUAUUGCUGCAUAAUCUUCGAAAUAACGCGUAGAAUUCGCAUGGAUAUCCAACGAUUUAGUACAUUUUUAUUCGUUGAUACCCAAUGAUGUAUUUGGUUUCUAGGUAUAAAAUUGCUUCAUCCAUAGAAUUUUUUUUUCUUACGCCAUCAAUGCAAUGGCACGAAAUUGAUAAUUAUAGGUGACUUUUAACGCGGAAUUAUUAAUGGAAAACUAUCAGUUUAGAGAAUUAACAGCUGCAUGCAGCGCGGAUAAUCUUAAAAUAGCAACUUCUUUGAAGAUCCAACUACAUAUUUUACUGCAAGGUUUUCACCAUCGCGUGGUUCCUCUCCGAACUACUGCGCGUAUCUACAUAACAGAAAAUGGAUGCAUUAAUUAUUUGUUACAUCCACAGAGAAGAAAACGUUUUUACAUCAACAGAACAAAUCAUUUUUUUAAAUUACGUAUAUAUAUAACUACCGAAAG
RNAcentral lists this long non-coding RNA (724 nucleotides) under Androctonus crassicauda. The record is from RNAcentral. Lineage: Eukaryota; Metazoa; Arthropoda; Arachnida; Scorpiones; Buthidae.